UCACAAAUGAAAAUAGUUGAUUUUUAUAGCAGAUAAAGAUGUAUCACAGAUUCGUAACAAAUGGGUAAAUAAGCAGCUAAAAAAUGUUGUUGACGGGGUCAAUACAUUUCUACAUUCUUAUAAUUCUAUUUUGAUCUAGCGAUGAUGUGAGCUCGGUUCGUCGCAUAUGAGUUAUUAAGAAUUGACGCGCACAAUUCACGAUCCGGCCAAAUUCCUAUCACAUUCGGUUAUUUCUUCGUGAGAUGUAGUUCUCUUAAGACUUUGUGAGGAUUAAACGAUGCCACAACGAACACUGUUGUUUCCGCCGGGGCCUGUAAGAGCAUUGCCCACCGAUCCGUUUGAUUGGUCAGUGGAACAGGUUUGCGCCUUCGUUGCCCUCCACGACGCUUCGAAUACGCGUAUCACCCGAGCACUCCGUAUAGAAGAAAUUGAUGGGCCGGCAUUUCUACUACUAACCACAGCAGCGUGUACUGGACACCCAUUAAAUCUCGAACCUCGGGAAGUGACAAGGCUGUGUGAGAUCGUUGAGUUAGCAAAAUUUAAAUACGCUAAAAUGCAUAUAGAGCCGUAUUUUUAGCCGCGAUCUUAUACUUUUGGCAUAAACCCCAAUACGUGAUCACCAAUUAACCACAGGACGUUAUGGCAUUUGUUAAAAUUAUGGACUAUCAACUUUUAUGUAUAUAGUGUUUUUAGCUCUCGUCGAAUCAGAAUUUUUGAUAUUAGGGCGUUCUUAAUUUUAAAAAAUACACCAGGGAUUCUCACGGGUGAUUGUUAUAUCGUUGUAUGAUAAGUGUGUCUAUCAAAUACACUGUACAGUUACAUUAAUUUCAUCACGACAAAAUUGUAUAGGUAUUGCAUAGAUACCGUAUGAUAUUUGAGAAUAAAAAAAGCUAUUUAUAUAAAUAAGGUACAACCUGUUGAUAUCUUAAGUUAGAUGGGGUGAGGAUUGUUUCCGAUCAAGGUUGAAAUAACUUUUACAUAAUGCCUUCCGCAACAAGUUAAAAUUUUGCAAAGCUCCAGGAGUUAGGUGAUGUUCCCACUCACACAACAAUCCUACACCCACUAGUUAUUCCUGUGCUCACAUAGGCGCAUUUUGUCUACCUUAUUCCAGAUCCGACUACGAUCAAAUUAUAUGCUGCGCCACAUAAUACGAUCACUUUUUGUAGGCUUUGUAGUAUUGAGCAUUUGGUCUGACCAGUUAAGUGGCCAACUACAUAUAAGG
This is a long non-coding RNA of Varroa destructor (honeybee mite), 1222 nucleotides long. The record is from RefSeq and is a predicted model, not a curated record. Lineage: Eukaryota; Metazoa; Arthropoda; Arachnida; Mesostigmata; Varroidae.